CCAAUUUUUUCUUUUCCUCUGGAUCGAGGAGUGUCCCGAUUUUAACCAAACCCGGAUUUUCGGUCGUUUUGAUAUCCACGUCCUUCGUAAGUUCUGAGGCCGAGAAGUUCGGCUUUGGCUUCCCAAUUUCAUGGAGGUUCUUUAAUUGUUAUAAUGGCUCUGUAGAUUCAACCAAGACAGCAUCUUGCAUGGAGUUUGACCUUCUAGCUUCGUUUGUCUCUGUGAUAUAGAAUCUCCUACGAUCUAUAAGAUCCCAUCGGGUGUUGGGAACCUUAUUCUUUGAUGGUACGUGGAUGCAACUCCUUUGAUUCCAUGAACCCAAGAUCGUCCGACGAUGGAGGUAUAAGGUGAAACUACAUCUAAUACAAAGAAAAAGGUUAAAGUCAGGAUCCUGCUUACGCAAAUCUCCAGGGUUGUCUCGCCUCGGGGCCUGGUUGACAAACCAUUGAAACUGAAUAUAUUAUAUGUUGAAGGAAUAAGGCAUUCAUAUUUUAAGCCCAUAUUUUGGAAUGUAUCAUAGAAUAAUAUCUCUACUGAGCUUCCGUCGUCGAUUAGAAUCUUUGGUAAUGUCCAUGGCAAUUCUUCUGGUUUCUCAUCGUCUCUUUUGGCAGGUUAUUAAACCACAUCAAGGCUUCUUCUUUCAGACUUGCUGGGAAGAAUCACACAUGACGACAUCAAGGCUUCUUCUUUCAGGCUCCAUUGUGUUAACGUCAUUCGAUAAUAUCGUAGAUGUUCAAUCGCAUCACCGGUUCCACUAAAGAUUGUUGUAAACUUUGGGAGAGAGUAUUUCCUUGGAAAUUGUUUAUCUAAUAGGUUAGCCGCUAGGGGUGAUUAUCCCGCUUCUUGCAUGACCUCUGCCAACUUCUGGACUCAUUUACUUUCGGUUGCUUCUUUGUACAUCGCUUCGAGUUGAUUUAACCUUACUUACAAUGCAUCGUCAAUGUCCCUCGUUUGGACAUUCUUUUUCCUGCGAGAAUCCCGUUCGGGUGGGAUAAAGUUCUCCUGAUGAAGAUAUCAUAAUCUCCCCGAGUCUUCAUCAUAUUUUCCAUCGGGCGAUAUACGCCUAGUUCGGUUGAACUCCCUUCUCGAAGUUUCCCUUCGUCUCGGGUUUCUUUUAGAUGUCCUCUCGGACUGAUCAGGGAGUCAGGGACUCCGACCUCGACCUUUUUCUAUCUUUAUAAAUGCAUUUGUCUGGGAUUGACAUCGGACCUCCUUUAUACUUAUGGGGAAUCGAUCAUGGGUAUCCUCGUUUGAGGUAUACGGUAGAUCUAUACGGACAUCCUCUUCUAGCUUUUCUAGGGGGUUUUCCUCUUCGGGUUCCUCAUUUGGGAGAACAAGUGUCUUUUUCUUAUUUUUCUCCUGAUGCCUUAGCUUUUUGUUUUUCUUUUCCAGUCUCAUGUUUCGUCGUUCGAGAUUUUUCAUUCGCUCAUGAUGGUCUCGAGGGUAGUAGUAUUGUUAUCGUGGCUAAAGGAACCCUCUUUCAGCGUCA
This is a long non-coding RNA of Papaver somniferum (opium poppy), 1489 nucleotides long. RefSeq lists it as uncharacterized. Lineage: Eukaryota; Viridiplantae; Streptophyta; Magnoliopsida; Ranunculales; Papaveraceae. The transcript has 2 exons. The record is from RefSeq and is a predicted model, not a curated record.